AACAACAACAUCACAAUCCAUGCAUGCAAACCGAUAAUAACGCAAUAGCAAUAAUCAUAUAUUCAUGCAAUCUAACAACCUAGCAAUCAACCUCGACUAUAGAUUCAAGAAUACCUAUCUAUCCAUAACCUAGCAAUAUUAUCUAAGGGUUCGUAUUCGCUAACUAACCAAGUAACCUUACCAUUAGCAUGCUACUAUGAUUCCCAAGCAAUAACUAAGCAUGCUAUCAACUCAAUCAACCAAACCACGACAAUUAACUAAUCAAACUGUUACUCAGUUAGACCCGGCCCCCUGCCAUUAUCCAACUUCCAUGUAACGGAAACCUGCAUGCAAACAAGUCAGCAAUCAAUUGCCGUGACUCACAGUGUUUGGUUCGUUGUGGCUUUAACCCUUGCCCGAAUCCUCGACCAAAACCCUUUCUUGAACUCCUCAAGUAGCCUUCUGUCCCAACUGACCUCAAAGGCGUGCCUAACCCUGAAUGGCCUCCCUUGAACAACUCUCAACUCAAACAGAAACUUCUCUAGGCGACGACUCAAAACUGGUGUAGUAAUUGAUCUCAAAAGCUCCC
Molecule: long non-coding RNA, 568 nt
Filed under: Brassica napus (rape)
Lineage: Eukaryota; Viridiplantae; Streptophyta; Magnoliopsida; Brassicales; Brassicaceae
Description: long non-coding RNA (BNAP_LNC013881)
Source: RNAcentral